Molecule: long non-coding RNA, 519 nt
Filed under: Pongo abelii (Sumatran orangutan)
Lineage: Eukaryota; Metazoa; Chordata; Mammalia; Primates; Hominidae
Description: lincRNA
Source: RNAcentral
CUACCCAUUUUACCCGUGGGGAAGCUGAGGCCCAGUGCUGUUUAAUAUCUUACUCAUGUUCACUUGAUGAGAAAGUGACAGAGCUGAGACAAACCCAGAUCAACAGAGAAGAAAUGAGUCAAUGAUGGUGCAGGUGAUCUGUGCAGUGCUGUGCAGGGGAUGGGUCAAAGCUGUGAUGCUGGCAUGCAACUAACUCACCAUUAAAGGGACCAGCUUGACGAAGCUUCUGCUUUUGUGACUGUCUUCUAAUGGGAGAAGUGAAAUUCUACCUCACCUUUUUAAAAGAAGAGCCUGGAAUUGGCCUAUCUGUCUUUUUCCCCGUUGGACCACAGAGCAGAAAGGAAUCUAAGACCUCUAGUACAGUGUUCAAUGGAACUGGUGAGAGAAGACGUCCUUGCUGUGUUCCUUAUAUGAAGAGGAAAGCAGUCCUUCUCCAUUAAAUGCUGACAACAUGAGCCUCCUGUGGUCGGAACAGGCUUGUGAAGGCAGUGCUGGGAUGCACCAGGGCAGGAGCUACAG